RNAcentral lists this long non-coding RNA (4759 nucleotides) under Sus scrofa (pig). RNAcentral's name for it is "lncRNA (ENSSSCG00055020153.1, ENSSSCG00110007555.1, ENSSSCG00175000343.1)". The record is from RNAcentral. Lineage: Eukaryota; Metazoa; Chordata; Mammalia; Artiodactyla; Suidae.
CUGUGGAUAAGGGGCCCCCAAUCAUAUAACUUGGAUGUAUUAUAUAAUAUGCUUCCCUCUGGGAGAGGACUUUUCAUCUGACCAUGUGGCAGGCUGUAAGACUUUCAGCAGUAAAGCAAUCUCUUCAACUUUCUGUAACACUGACUAUGCUUAUUUGGUCAUAGGGCUCCCUGUGAAGAAAACCGUGGUACCCAUUAACAUCCUGGAAAAAUCUGGCAUUCCAUGUGACAUUCUAUAGAAAGGCUUUUCUAAGCUAUGUGGCCUCCCCAUGAACGUGCUCCAUGCAUUCACUCCCCAACAUGCCGAAUGCUAUUGUGUACCUCUGCUGUCCAAGAGACAAUUUCUUACCUCUUGUUGGGGAAUUAAUUUUGAGAAUUUAUUACCCAGGGACUAUCAGCAACCCCCUGACAGUGUGGUCCUCGAGUGAGCUGGCACUAAACAGUUUGUGUGAGGAAAUGGGAAAGAGCAGAGAGGAAAGACGUCCUCAAAGUAUGAUGUGGAAGUGGCGUUAAUCACGAUGCUAUCUGGUAGAGCUUUUAAGUGAAAAUUUAUGGAGGUGUUUGAUAUGGGUAACUAGGAAAGAGCAAAUUAGCUGGAGGCAGCAGGUUCAGCAAAGGUGAGGAGGAAGGAAUUAGAGACUGGAAGGCAAGUGGAAAGCAAGUAUAUUCCAUGGCUUGGAAUGAGGGGAAAAUUAGAGGACAGCUAGUGAAGGACACUGAAUCCUAAUUACAGUGUUUGAAAUGGACAUGAAUGGUGUGAGGGACCCCCAUAAAGAUUUCCAGGGAGAACAUAAUAGGAUGCAAAUAAUUUUUCCUGACCAAGGCCCUGUUAUCUGCUGUCAGACCUAUUUGAAGUGAUGCCUGACCCGAAUGGAAGCUACAGGGAUGAAGUGUAGGGACAAUUUGGUGGUCACAAGGGCAGAGAGAAGAAUCCAGUUCAGCUCAGAUGCUAGGAUCAUGGUGACUGGGAUCCAGGAGUUUCUGAAGGGUACACUUCUCCUCCAGUCUCAUAAAUUUGCCUUCCCCUCCCUCCUUGAAGCAAUGCUGUAGUUGUCAAUGAAGUUCUUAGCUGGAGGCUACCCAAUCACCAUCUAGUCAUUAGGAGAUAAAAACUAUUGAUCAUUAUUUGUCUGCUGCUCGUUGGAACCAGCAGGCCUCCUGCUAAUAUCUUUAUCCACUUCUAAGGCUGUCAGCCUAUCGACUUAAAAAACAACAACAACAACAACAACAAAAAACCAGUUGAUUGGAGUAAGAGCAAGGAAAUCUGGUGAUGCAGCAGGGGAUGGAAGGUCUGUCCUUUCUGUUAAUCUUAUUAUCUCUUCACUUGAAAAAAGCCCAAAGCACAAAGAAAGUACGAACAAAGAAGCAAAGCUCAGUGAGUAACCCCAAACUGCCCAUGCGAUCUUGCUGGCUUUGGUUUCCUCAUCUGGGCAAGAAGUUGGUUGGCACUAGACAUCGUCUUAUAUUCUGAGGCUGCACUAACCUCAGGGUAGUGCAUGGCUUCUUUGCAAAGGCUGCUGAUCCCCUGGGGUAUGUGAGGCACAGAGUGGACCAAAGAAGCCCUUGUUUUUCUGGUUUGGUGUAGCAAGUUCUGCACUAUAGCCAGCUGCAGGGAGUUUAUAUGUGAGCAAGCACACAGGACCCUUCUUGAGGCAUGCUCUGAUUGGAAACAAGGUGGUCCCCAGUAAAGGCAGUGGCCAAAGGCACAGAAAAUAUUCUCCUUCUUCUUCUUUUUUUUUUAAUUGACGACAUGUCGUCAUAGAAUGAAGAGUAGUCUCAAAAAGGAGCUCUAACAGUGAAAGAUUCAUCAACAAAAUCAUCAGCAGAUACCAAGUGAGUCUUCUUGGGCCCAGGCCUAUGUAGGUAGAGGAAGUAUCCUGAUGAUAGUGUUCUUGGUUGCAGGGACCUCAACCCUUAGUUGGAUAAUGAAGAUAAUCUCAUACAGAACAGUUGUAGCCUGUAUGUGCAGUGAGGGUCAGGGGUGAGAAAAGUCCCGAAAGUUUCCUUGUAGGGGAUAGGACUUAUUCUAGGCUGUGAAGACAAAGGGUUUGAAGAGGAAGAAGGAAGGAGGGGAUGUUGAAGGUGUCUGACAUGGAUGGAAGGGAAUCAUGGUUGGGGGUAGUAGCUGAUGCUCCUUGGUGGGCGCUAGUUACUCUGUGUGUGUUUGGGGGGUAUAGCUGUCAUAAACUUCCUGUAUUUAAAGUAUACAAUAUGAUAAGGCCUGACUUAUAUAGGACCUAGGAAACUACCUCCACACUCAAGAUAAUGAACUAUCACCAAGAAAAGACGCUUAGAGCCUUUUGUAAUCCCUGCUCCCCAUCACUCCCUGCUCCCCACAUCCGCUGGUAACCAGCGAGAAGAUGCCACCAUAAAUUUACAUUUUGAGUAGUUUAUGUAUAAAUGGAACCUGACACUAAGUACUCUUUCAUCUGGCUUUUUCCAAAGACAUAAUUGAUAGUCAUCCAUGUUUUGUGUAUAUAAAUAAUUCAUUCCUUUUAUUGAGGAGUAGUAUUCCAUUGUAUGGAUAAACUGUCAUUUGUUUAUCUGUUUACCAUUUGAUGCACAUUUAGGUUGUUUCCAGUUUUUGCUUUUGUAAGUAAAGCUGUCAUGAACAUUUAUGAACAGAUUUUGUAGGUAUACAUGAUGGCAUUGCUCACAUAUUCUAGAAACCCCCUGAUUCUCUCUGUACUUGUUUUAUCAAUUAUCAGAUGAUGAAUGUUGACAACUUUGACCAUAAUUGUGGACUUAACUAUUUCUCCUUAAAGUUUUAUUAGUUAUUGCUUCAUGUUAUUUUGAAGCUCUAUUAUAAGUUGCAUAAAAAUUUUGGAUUAAUAAUCCAAAUUAUUAUGUGACUCUGGUAAUUGACCCCUUUAUCAAUACAGCAUGACCUUUAUCUUUGAUAACAUUUGUUGUUCUGAAAUCUGCUUCAUAUGCUGUUAAUAUAGCAUUACAGCCUUCUUUUCAUGUUAUACACACAGGAAUAAAUAAAUAAAUAAAUAUACACACACACAUUCAUACACAGUUGGCCCUCUGUAUCCAAGGUUCUGCAUCUACAUAUUCAACUCACCUGUGGAUUGGGGUUGCUUGAAUCCACAGAUGUAGAACCUGUAUUAGGCCGUUUUAGGUAAGAGAAGUGAACAUCCAUGGAUUUUGGUAUACAUUGGGAGUCUGGUACAGUCCCCUGUGGAUACUGAGGGAUAUCUGUGUACACACACACACACACACACACAUAUCUGACUAUAUAUAUAUAGUUUCUUUUUUACUUAACUGUUUAUGUCUUUAUAUUUAAAAUAUUUUUCUUUUAGGUAGCACAAGAAGUUUGGUCUUAUUUUUUUUAUACAAUCUGAAACAUCUCUACCCUAUAAAACAUGUUAAGUUGAGAUAGAGAUUUACACACAGUUACACGAAAUGGUAGAGAUAGCCUGUGUUCCCUUUGCCCAAUUUUUCUCUAUAAUAUCUUACAAAACUAGAGUCUGAUAUCACCACCAGGAUAUUAAUGUUGAUGGAUCCAUCAGAUUUGCUCGGUUUCCUGCUGUACUUAUUGUAUUAAUGUGUGUAGACAUGUGUGUUUGGUUCUGUGCAAUUUUAUCACUGGAAUAGUUUUAUGCAUGUACUGCUACAGUCAUGAUGUGGAAUAGUUCCAUCAACACAAAGAUCUUUCCUGUUUCCUGUUCCUUUUUUAGGUAUUGAAUUUUGUCAAACACUUUUAUGCAUCGUUUGUUAUCAUAUGAGUUUUCUUCUUUGGCAUGUUGAUUUAUUGAGUUAUGUUGAUUGCUUUUUGAAUGCUGAGCCAGCUUUGCAUACCUGGAAUAUAUCCCAUUUAGUCAUGGGACACAAUUCUUUUUGGGACACAUCAUUGAAUUUGAUUUGCUAAUUUUCUGUUGAGACUUUAUGUCUAGGUUUGUGUUAAAUACUGGUUGGAAGUUAUCUUUUUUCUGUAUUUUUUUAAAAUCUGGUUUUGGUAAUCUCUACUUUUCAACUAGAACACUUAGGUCAUUUAUAUUUAAUAUGAUUAUUGAUAUGAUUAAGUUUAAAUCUAUCAUCAUACUGUUUUCUUUUUGUUCUAUUUUUCUUAUUUUUCUCUACUCCUACCUUAUUUUGGAUUGAUGGAUUAUUUCUAAAUUAUUCUAUUUCGUUUACUUUUUUGGUUGCCUUAUAUCUAUAACUCUUUGUUUAGUUAUUUUAAUAGUUUCUUUAAGGAUCACAAAACACAUCUCUGUUAUCAUAAUCUACCUUCAAGUAAUAAAUAUUAUACUAUUUCACAUGUGGUAAAGUUCUUAUAGUUGUAAAGCCCAGGACCCCUGGACUUUCAACUUUAUCUGCUUGGCUAUGCUCUGGGCUCUGCCUAGGUCCCCUCCUGUUGGCGCAUGGAUUAGAGGCUCUCUCAAGGCAGUAAACUGGGGCAAUCCUAAGGCUCUUCUCACCUGUGUCUUCUCUUUUAGGGAUCACCAUCCUUCAUUCCCUAAUGUAAUGAAGUCUUGAAAACCUUUGCGUGUAUAUGUUGCUUCCAUUUUUGUGUUUGAUUUGAUUUUUGUGUUUUGGUUUCAGAUAGGAUAAAUAUGGUUCCUCUUACUCCAUCUUGGGCAGAAGUAGGAAUUCCAAUUCCAAAACAACAAUGCAGAAAUUGUUUCCAUGUGUAUUCAUGUUAAAGUCAAAAUGCUAAUCCUUUCAAGAAAACUCCUGUUAUGGACUGGAGAGAAUGAAAGCAUCAAGGCCAGAGGACAUUUGUUAGUUAUUUCCCUUUAGAAAGAUCCAGUCCA